GCUUAUGUAUGCUCUAUGCACUUCACUCUGCUUCCUGAGGCAGGUGAGAUGUUUAAUAUCUACUUGCCUGAAUGUUAAUGUCUGCCCACAGAAAUAAGUCGGAGCUCUGGAGUAGAGAACACCCGAUGAUUCAGAAUCGUUCCGGAGUGCUAUAUUUCUUCGACUGCUCAGACUGUACCCCUCAAAACCAGCUGUCCACUCUUUUUCAAGGCAAAGAUAUUGAAAACUGUUAGAAUCUCUUGAGGGAUAUCUUCAAUACAGACACGUUAAAUAAAACAUGGAAAUGGGAGACUACUCUUAGGGGCCAUGGUCAAGUUCAGUAAAAUAAAAGAUUCCAUUAACAGGGUAUCAUGAUCAGUCCCACAAAUUACAAAAAAGAUUUUAGUAUAUUCCUGCAUAAUUUUGACAUAAUAAAUCAAACAAGUGUUAUCUCUUAUCUAAUAAAAUCAUGGUACAAGCAUAA
RNAcentral lists this long non-coding RNA (463 nucleotides) under Pan troglodytes (chimpanzee). RNAcentral describes it as "lincRNA". The record is from RNAcentral. Lineage: Eukaryota; Metazoa; Chordata; Mammalia; Primates; Hominidae.